Molecule: long non-coding RNA, 604 nt
Filed under: Equus caballus (horse)
Lineage: Eukaryota; Metazoa; Chordata; Mammalia; Perissodactyla; Equidae
Description: lncRNA (ENSECAG00000047537.1)
Source: RNAcentral
CACGUUGUAGCGUCUUCUAGUACAUCAUUCCUUUCUGUGGCUGGAUAAUAUUCUAUUGUAUGGUAGGCUGAAGAAUGACUCCCAAAGACAUCCAUGUCUGAAGCCCUGGAACGUUACCUGAUACGGCAAAAAGGACUUUGCAGAUGUGAUUAGGCAAGGAUCCUGAGAUGGGAAGAUUAUCCUGGAGCAUCCAGGCAACGUGAUGAUAAAAGCAGAUCGGAGGGUUGCACUUCAAAGAUGGAGGAAGGAGCCACAAGCCAAGGAAUACAGACCUUGGCUCAUCCUGAAAGGCCAGUGGAGUGUUUCAAACAGGGCAAGCUGACGGCUGGGCAGAUUGAAGAGAUUACCGUGCAAGAGCUCUGGGGUGGCAGGGGGUCUGGAAGUUCCACAGAGCUUAUCCAAAAGUCAGCUGCCAUCUCAUGCAUAUGCAGCCCCUACAGAUGCCAAAGGAAAUGGGAUGGAAGCCUAUUUUUCAGAUGUUGAUGGCGUCAGCGCUUUGUUCUUCCUACAUUGUUCAUCCCUUGGAAUGGAAGUUUUCAAACUUAGCAAGGGAACUGUUGGGAGCACUCUUACAGGCCACCUCGAUAUACGGAAGAGAGCGAGG